GUGGGGAAUCUUCCGCAAUGGACGAAAGUCUGACGGAGCAACGCCGCGUGAGUGAAGAAGGUUUUCGGAUCGUAAAGCUCUUUCGUUAGGGACGAACGUGCUCUUUGUGAAUAAUGAGGAGUAAUGACGGUACCUAAAUAAGAAGCCACGGCUAACUACGUGCCAGCAGCCGCGGUAAUACGUAGGUGGCAAGCGUUGUCCGGAAUUAUUGGGCGUAAAGCGCGCGCAGGCGGGAUAUCAAGUCUGUCUUAAAAGUGCGAGGCUCAACCUCGUGAGGUGACAGAAACUGGUAUUGUUGAGUGUCGGAGAGGAAAGUGGAAUUCCAAGUGUAGCGGUGAAAUGCGUAGAGAUUUGGAAGAACACCAGUGGCGAAGGCGACUUUCUGGACGAUGUCUGACGCUGAGGCGCGAAAGCUAGGGGAGCGAACGGGAUUAGAUACCCCAGUAGUCC
This 450-nucleotide ribosomal RNA is filed under the name uncultured bacterium. RNAcentral's name for it is "partial 16S ribosomal RNA". It matches the Rfam family "Bacterial small subunit ribosomal RNA", at positions 354 to 796 of the family's 1533-position model. The record is from RNAcentral.